Molecule: long non-coding RNA, 356 nt
Filed under: Prunus persica (peach)
Lineage: Eukaryota; Viridiplantae; Streptophyta; Magnoliopsida; Rosales; Rosaceae
Description: long non-coding RNA (PPER_LNC005628)
Source: RNAcentral
GUUGGGGUGCCCGAAGUAGGGGCAGCCGGCGGCGUGGACCUUGGUCUUCCCGAACUGGUCGAGGUACUUGAGGAACUCGAUCACGUGGGCCCCACUGCACCGUGCCAGCGUCAGCGGCGGCUUGUGGUUCUUGAGGUACUGCAGGAAGGUGUUCCAGUCCCGCCGCUUCUGCGACUCGUAGCGGCUCGGCGGGGCUGGAGACGAUGAGGCCUCGGCUGCUGCUGCUGGAACAACGGCACCACCAGCAGCCGCGGCUAUCGACCCGGUUGCUGCCGAUGAUGGGCCCUCUCCUCCGCUGGUAUUCGGGUCGGGUGGUCCGGUUCCCCCUGAAGCUGAAUCCAUUGUCUCUUUGUUUU